AGGCAGCGAGCAACAAGCACAUCCAAUGGCUGCUGGGAGCGGAUGGCGAGGUCUGGGUGUGGGUCAUGGGAGAAGGCCCUGGAGACAAGCCCUACGAAGAGAUAUCUGAGGAACUGAUUGCAGAGAGGGCUCGGCUGCAAGCACAGAAAGAGGCCGAAGAGCUCUGGAGACAGAAGGAAGCAGAGAUCACCAAAAAGUUCCGGGAU
RNAcentral lists this long non-coding RNA (206 nucleotides) under Rattus norvegicus (Norway rat). Its description in RNAcentral is "long non-coding RNA NONRATT011337". The record is from RNAcentral. Lineage: Eukaryota; Metazoa; Chordata; Mammalia; Rodentia; Muridae.